GGGAGAUGAGGCGCUCAUGGAGGCCUGCAGAGCAGGGAGGGGACGGAUGCCUUCAGACUGAGCUGCUCGUAUUGGAGACCCCCGAACCACUCCUUAGGUUUUGUAUUCCCAGUGUUCUGCUAAAAAUCCUGCCCGGAGAUAGGAUGGGUGUGAAUCUGCAUUGCUGUGCUCUGCUCAGCUGUCAGCUGGGCCUCUCCUCCCUGGGCAGGGGCUGCAGAAGUUAGGGCAGGCAUGGCUGCAGGUGUACGGGAGGAGGAGGAGGGAGGAGAUGAAUCUCCGUGCAGCCGUAUGUUUGAUGUAGCAAGGCACAGCACCUCUUCUCUGUGUCCGGCUGUGAUGGAUGUGCUUGUUUGGGUGAAGUUGUGCCCUUCAGAAGUCUGUAUCCUAUAACUGGAGCAGUGCUCACCUCUGUGAGGAUGCUUACUCACCCAGGAGCUGAGGUCUGACCGUGGCGACCAUGAUCUGCAGUAACAUCACGUGGAUGGGGCUGACAUCUCCCCUCCCUGCCCUGCAUGCACUGAAAGCCCUUGCAGGGCACACAUCAAACCCUCUGGGUGUGGAGGAGAAGUACUGUGCAUUGAUACUGCUAUAGCUAGGACCGGGGCUCAAUCCCGAGGAUGCUGCUGGAUAUAGACAGGAGAAACACACAGAAAUGAUGCUGCAAUCAAAUACAGAGUUUACUAUUACUCACAAAACUCAGAGCUGUGAAUUGGAAGCUUAUGACCCUCCCUCAAAUAAGCACUCCUCCACCUCUUCCUACUCCUCUGAGGAGUCAAUGGGGAGGAGUGUGCUUAAACUGUGAGCUCAGUGAGGAGUCUCCACCUGAUGGGCUCCGUGUGAUGCAGAUUUCAGCCCACAUUUCACUUCUCAUGGCUGAAAGAGCAACUGCCCCAACAACUUCCUCGUCUUUGUCUCCAGAACAGGCAGAUUCGUCCUGCAUUGACUGCACAGGUGAGGCUGAGAAGACCGUUUUCCUGCAGCUUGCAGACACAGUGAUGGAGCGUGGGGAUAUUUGCUCCCCCCCGUGGGACUGCCGCCAGGUGGGUGUUGCAGCACCAGGUGGGUGUUGCAGUGCAGGUGUUUGGGGCCGCACACCCCUGCCUGGUUUUCCUGGUGUUCAUCCGGUUCGCUGACCUCCCUGGGGCUUCCCAGGUACCGCAGGGCCACAGCCCGUCUGCUGCUUGAUCAGCAGUUAUGAUUCACCUGUUGAUGCCACAGCUUAAUAACUCACUUAACUGCAGUACUUUGAUUAAAGAGCAACCUAUCUAACG
This is a long non-coding RNA of Gallus gallus (chicken), 1271 nucleotides long. The record is from Ensembl. Lineage: Eukaryota; Metazoa; Chordata; Aves; Galliformes; Phasianidae.